This 438-nucleotide ribosomal RNA is filed under the name uncultured eukaryote. RNAcentral describes it as "bacterial SSU rRNA". It matches the Rfam family "Eukaryotic small subunit ribosomal RNA", at positions 174 to 592 of the family's 1831-position model. The record is from RNAcentral.
AAGCGCCCGAAGCCGCGAGGCGACGGGCGUUCUCGCCGGAUGUAGGAACCGACCCGGGGACCGCCGGGGCAACCCGGCGCCCCCGAGACGGGGCGAACCACGGUGAAAUGACGGAUCGUCGGCCCCGCGCCGGCGACUCGCCGAAUGAGUUUCUGACCUAUCAACUCGAGACGGCGGGGUAGAGGCCCGCCGCGGUAACGACGGGUAACGGGGAAUCAGGGUUCGAUUCCGGAGAGGGAGCCCGAGAAACGGCUACCACUUCCAAGGAAGGCAGCAGGCGCGCAACUUACCCUAAUCUCGAUUCGAGGAGGUAGUGACAAGAAAUACCGAUGCGGGACCCUACGGGUGCCGCGUUCGGAAUGAGUACGAUUCGAACCACCUAACGAGGAACGAUCGGAGGGCAAGUCUGGUGCCAGCAGCCGCGGUAAUUCCAGCUCC